GGAUGGAGGAGGGUGGAGCAGUGAGCACACAGCUGGUGGGUCUGAACUGAGGGAAGAUAAAUUCCCUCAAUUCAUGGGGUGGCUUGAAGACUAACUUGGGAAUGGAAGGGGCAAUGUCAGAGUCAAGCCCACCCAACUCUUCUGCAUCUAUAGUGAGCAACGUCUGCAGUGCAGUAUCUGGAAGGACCGGUCCUGGCCGGCUGUAUGUCCAACACGUGAACACCUUGCAGAUCGCAAAGGCCUAUUUGCCAACUGUCACUAUCCCUUGGACUUAGAGUGACACUGGAAUGGGAAACCACUCCUUAGGUCCUUCAGCUCCUUCCGGCCAGCACGAAGCAGGCUGUGUCUUGUUACCGUGAAGGAGUGUUAAGAGCACCCUGGAGACCAAGCUGAAGAAGGUGACAAGAGCCUAUGCACAGAUCUCCUCAAACAGCAGGUUUGGGGACAGAGGCCCUCACGGGUGGAGAUUCUGAGAGUCCAUGUGACAGAGCCUCACAGGCUAGUCUGCAUUAGGCCUCUGUGUGUGGACCCAAGGACAGGGACGGACAGCUUCUGCCAGCUGCCUGUCAUGCGCCCGUGUUUCCUUGUGUGUCCUAUGGCACAAAGCUUACACCCUGGCUCUCCUCCCAUCUCCCAACACACCCUGAGCAAAGACUGCCUCCGCUCUUUGUUGUGUUCAAGGAGACCUGAGCCAAAAUGAAGCAUCCCACAUCUGGAAGCUGCUAUUCCUUAAGAAGUGAGCGUCCUGCCAGACACUGGUGGUACACGCCUUUGACCCCAGCACUCAGGAGGCAGAAGCAAGAGGAUCUCUGUGAGUUCAAGGCCAGUAUGGUCUACAGAGCUAGUUCCUGGAAGCCAGGGCUACACAGAGAAACCCUGUGUACAUGUGAGCUACCCACAUGGCAGGUCACAAUCAUCUGAAACUCCAGUUGUAGGGGGAUCCUAAGGACCCCUCUGUCCUCCGUGAGCACCAUGCACUCACGUGGUCCGUAGACAUACAUGCCAGCAAACACCCAUGCAUAUAAAGGAAAUCUUUAGUAGGAUAUAAGGAUCCUUUCUCAUAUCUCCUUUCUUCCCAGUGAUCGGAACUUCAAGAUCAUGGGUCAAGGUCAUAGAUAGUGCCAGCAGCUGGACUGGGGCAGGACAAGAGCUGAGGGAACACAGCCAGAACUGAGAGGCUACAGACGAAAUAGCCGCCUCCGCUCCCUCCUCCUCCUCCUCCUCCUCCUCCUCUUCCUCCUCCUUCCUUCUCUGUAUGGCAAGGUCUCCUUGGCUCUGGGCUAGAUUUGAACUUGCUAUAGAGCUAAGAAUGACCUUGAACUUCUGUCGCUCCUGCCUUCACAUCUUUUUUUUGGGGGGGGGAGGUUGUUUGUCUGUUUGGUUUGGUUUUUGGUUUUUUGAAACAGGGUUUCUCUGUGUAGCCCUGGCUGUCCUGGAACUUACUCUGUAGACCAGGCUGGCCUCGAACUCAGAGAUCCACCUGCCUCUGCCUCCCGAGUGUGGGAUUAAAGGCGUGCGCCACCACUGCCCAGCAUGCCUUCACAUC
Molecule: long non-coding RNA, 1546 nt
Filed under: Mus musculus (house mouse)
Lineage: Eukaryota; Metazoa; Chordata; Mammalia; Rodentia; Muridae
Description: predicted gene, 36752
Source: RNAcentral